RNAcentral lists this long non-coding RNA (961 nucleotides) under Ananas comosus (pineapple). RNAcentral's name for it is "long non-coding RNA (ACOM_LNC004811)". The record is from RNAcentral. Lineage: Eukaryota; Viridiplantae; Streptophyta; Magnoliopsida; Poales; Bromeliaceae.
AUAUUUAAAUUAGAUUAUUAUUGAAGCAUUACGUAGUAUAUAGAGUUGAGCUAGAAUACUUCCAAAAGCACCAAAGAGGUGAUGCUUUUGAAUUUUUAAUUUUUGGAUGAAAAAGUGUAAGGUUGAGAUGAUGAUGGUAAGUGGAAUAGUAUUUGAUUCAAAAGUUAUUAAUAAUUAAGGAGUAAAUCUAAGGGCUAAAAAUUUAGAAGCACUAAGUAGGUGACGCUUCUAAAAGUAUUCAAGCUCAAUUCGUAGUAUAUAUCAUUAGUCAACAUAUAAAAGAAGAGCUGUUAUUAAAUUUGUGCGAAAUUAUUUCUACUACUAGAACUGUACGUACACAAGACAUUUUUGGAAAGGAAAAAAAUUCAAAACUCACGCUUUUAUAAGUAGUAUAGAUAAAUACUUUUUAGGAAAAAAGAAAAAAAAAGUAAUGUUAUAUUUAUAAAUGUUCGAAGCGUGAUUUGUUAUGAUACAACUUGUUGGAAUUGGUAUUUGUGCUGAUACCGAUUAUAUAACUCAACAUCUAAAAUAAAAUAAAAUAAUAUAUAGAAAAUAUAUGUAGAAGAGAUAUUGGAUGAGAAAGAAGAUAACUAAACUAAUACUUUAUCCAUAAAAAAUAAUUAACUACAUUCUGGGCAACUCUCAUACAGCUAUAUCUACUAUGGUUUUUUCAUGUAAUUAAUCCAUGCCUAACUAUAUAUAGCCACAAAAUCAUAACAGAUGAUAAAUCUAAUUUUAUUUUAGAUAAUUAUAUAUUCUAAUCAAAUAAAAGAUUUAAACUGAUCUGUAAAUAUAUUUUAAUUAAGUUUGGAUUAUUAUUUUCAACAAUAAAUAAGUUUUGAAUUAUUCAGCAAAAAUAUAUGUGCGUGAUUUUAAUAUGAUGAUAGCGUGAAUCACUAGGAAAUCGUUUGGUUCAGCGUAAAAUAGACCGAAAAAUAAUUUUGGUAUGAAAAAUAUUUUU